UACGGAAGGCAGCAGUGGGGAAUAUUGCACAAUGGGCGCAAGCCUGAUGCAGCCAUGCCGCGUGUAUGAAGAAGGCCUUCGGGUUGUAAAGUACUUUCAGUCGUGAGGAAGGUGUUAAGGUUAAUAACCUUAGCAAUUGACGUUAGCGACAGAAGAAGCACCGGCUAACUCCGUGCCAGCAGCCGCGGUAAUACGGAGGGUGCGAGCGUUAAUCGGAAUUACUGGGCGUAAAGGGCACGCAGGCGGUUAAUUAAGUUGGAUGUGAAAUCCCCGGGCUUAACCUGGGAAUGGCAUUCAAGACUGGUUAGCUAGAGUCUUGUAGAGGGGGUAGAAUUCCAUGUGUAGCGGUGAAAUGCGUAGAGAUGUGGAGGAAUACCGGUGGCGAAGGCGGCCCCUGGACAAAGGCUGACGCUCAUGUGCGAAAGCGUGGGGAGCGAAACAGGGAUUAGAUACCCG
Molecule: ribosomal RNA, 456 nt
Filed under: uncultured bacterium
Lineage: Bacteria
Description: bacterial SSU rRNA
Rfam family: Bacterial small subunit ribosomal RNA
Source: RNAcentral